AAGAAAGAACUCAUCUUGAAUACAUGCUGGAGAAUGGCAAAGUGAAAUGAGCAGUUUUUAAGCUAGAACAAUCUAGUCCUUACUGAAGCAAGACUUCAGGUAACGAUACAACAAAAUAAAAUGAAUACUGAUCAAUAGCAGAUAAAGCUCUUCACGUUGAAAGGAAACUUUAAAAUAAAAAAAAUAAAAAAAGCAACAGGGGUAGGGUGUGUGUCAACGUUACUCCUUAUUCACAGGUUUAUUUCUUCAUAAAAGUGUAUUUCAAUCCUCUAUAGCAUCUUCGAGAAAAAAAAGUAACAAAAAAAAAGGCAACUGAAUGUUUUGUAUAGCGAAGUACAAGGCAGAGUUUAUAUCAAAAUUAAUAGAAUAAAAAU
Biomphalaria pfeifferi is the source of this 374-nucleotide non-coding RNA. NCBI's taxonomy places the organism in Eukaryota, Metazoa, Mollusca, Gastropoda, Planorbidae. The record is from the annotation of a GenBank genome assembly.